AUUACGCAACAUAGAACUAGCUAGAAGAGAGAAAAGAAAGAAGAGAGAGAGAGAGAGAUGGGUGAGCCAAAGCGAAAAUUAUUGGACAUGUCAAGAUUUCCAACAGUUCGAGGCAUUCAAAUUUAAAGGCGUGGAACCAAAUGUUUUACAGAACCGAAACCCAAUAUUGGAAGCCCAAUGAGAUAGAUAUUAGAAUAAAUAUUAAACCAAACUAAAAAAACUCUUAGUUAAAAUAGAACCAAUCUUGAACCGAAGAGUUGAAUCAUAACCAAUAAAACAAUUAGGCAGUAGUAAUCAACUCGAACCAUCCCACGCUGUCAUCAAUGAUUGGAGAUGAAAAAACACGAUCGUGAGAGAGAUAAGAGGAGAAUCCAGUGGCGAUUAGGGUUUGUCCUUUCUUUUAACGAGAUCCUUCAAACCAGAGUUGUAGCAUGUCGGAGGACAGGAUGGAGUUAGAGUGACGGUAGCUGAGUGCUCUGUUUCGCACAAAAGAGUCAAUCUGUUUAACAAUAAGGUCGGCGGACUUGAAGCUGUUCCGAUGAAGACGAUGGUUCCUUUCCGUCCAUAUGUUGUAGAUCGUAGCUUGCCAAGCCGUGAGAAGGAGUAUCUUGACAACUCUAGAACCUUGGAAGCUAGUGAGCUGCUGAAGGCAGUCAGACCAAGAACGGACAGGGGAGAAGGAGCAGCGGUUGGCGAUGAGGUUCCAGAUGCUCCAGCUGAACGGACAAUCAAAGAAAAGGUGAUCACGACUUUCCUCAGUCGAUCCGCAUAGCAGACAAGACAGAUCUACCUGUAAACCUCAAGAUCGAAGUCUAUCCCUAGUUGGACAUCUAUUCAACACAAAUAACCAGGUGAGGAAUCUAUGCUUUGGUAUGCCUUUAGUGAACCAAAUGAUCCUAUACCAUGCCACCUUAUGUAGAGUUUCUUUUAGGGCAGUGUAGAUGUUACCAGUAGUUCGACCAUCUCGCAGUUGGUCAUUAAUCCACCAGAUGUACUUAUCCUCUUCGUCUGCUAGUUGUAAGGUAGUUAGCUCAAUAUGAAGAUUGACCUAUUUUUCGGAUCGUGCAGGUGGUACCCUCCAUGUGCCAUGACGCUAGAGGUCUGCGAUGGUUGAUCUUAGCGGGAUGUCCAAAGUUCCUUCAUUGUGCAGGUAGGUUGACAGUCGUCCUAGACUGCACCAAUGAUCGCUCCAAAACCUACAUUUUCUUCCAUUGCCAACCUUAAUCUUUAUCCAAUGGAAUACUUCUUCCCGAAGCUUUAAAAGUUUGUUCGUUAACCAGGAGAACUUGUUACUUGGCUUCCGGGUCCAAAAGUUACUAAGAUCUCCAGAGAGAACAGCCGACUUGAACCACGCAACCCACACCGAGCCUGCCCUGAAGAAUAAGAGCCAGAUAAGUUUUAUCAUACAUGCUGUAUUCCAUUUUCGCAAGUCACGAAUACCUAGUCCUCCCUCUGAUUUCGCAUUUGUGAUAGUUUCCCAAGCCACUCGGGCCGAGUGAUGACCCUCUGUAGUUCCUUUCCACAGGAAAACACCAGUUAGAGAGUUCAAUGUGUCAAUACACUUCUUUGGCAAGAGGAAAGCUGAGCACCAGAAGUUCGUCAGUCCAGCAAUCGCAGUGUUUAGGAGUUGUAACCUUCCCGCAAAUGAGAGAGAUUUCAUGGACCAGGCAUUUAAGCUACUUUUUACUUUCUGGAUCAGAGGAGCAGAGUCGAGCAAGGUAAGCUUUUUAGUGUAGAGAGGUAUGCAUAGAUAACGGAUCGGUAGUUGUCCAUGGCUAACCCCUGUUUCAAGUUUGAUCUGGUCAAUUCCAGGUUGAGAAAGCCCGGAAGAGAAGAAACUAGUCUUAGGGAGACUGACAGCCAGACCAGAGACAGCUUCAAAAUCCUUCAAAAUGGUAAGGACCCUUUGAACCGAGGCUAAUGAUCCAUCUACAAAUAUCAACAAGUCGUCUGCAAAGCUUUAAAUCACGACACCUGUAAUGAUACUUUAUUUUUCCUUCUUCUGCAGCUUUAUCUAACAUGGCAGAAAGACAGUUUAGUGCAAGAACGAAGAGGUAAGGCGAUAGUGGAUCACCCUGCCUGAGCCCUCUUCUACUUUUAAAGUACCCAUGCACGCGCCCAUUGAAGCCAACUGAGAAGGAGGGAGUGCAUAUACAUGCCCGAAGCCAUUGAAUAUAGAGUUCAGGUACUUCUAUUCCCCUUAGACAGCUAAAGAUAAACUCCCAUCGGAUAGUAUCAAAUGCUUUUGCGAUGUCAACCUUUAUUGUUAUCCGUUUGGGUACUUUCGAUGAUAACCAUUUACAAGUUCCGCAACAAGCAAGGUAUUUUCAACUAAUAGUCUUCCUUUGAUAAAUGCAGUUUGAUUCCGCUAGACCAAAGCUGGGAGGGCAGGUUUGAUUCUUGCUACCAGAAGCUUGGAGAUGACUUUAUAUAGAGUAUUAAGACAGGAGAUUGGUCGAAAAUCUGAGAUGAGAGAGGCUCCGGGGAAUUUCGGGAUCAAAGCAAGUGUUAUUGCAUUAGUCGCUGAAGGCAAGAAGGAUGUGUGGAAAAACUUUUGAAUGCUUGUGGUGACAUCUGAACCAAGGAUCCCCCAGGCGGAUUUGUAGAAGGCAGAGGUAAAACCAUCAGGCCCUGGUGCCUUAUUUGCAUUUAGCUUAAACAUUACGUUUGUGAUUUCCUCAAUGGUAGGCUGUUUUACCAUUGUGAGUUUUAGUUCAGGGGAACAACGGUAAGUUAUAAUGCUUUGUAUCCAUGCAGGACAACCAGAGAUGGGUAGCAUAACAACAUGACCAAGUAGAGAUUCAAAAUGACUAACAGCCAGUCGACUCAUUUCAACUGGAUCAUCAAUAAUAGCUCCCGAAGAGCUAGAGAAGGAUCUGAUGGCGUUGAAUGCAUUGCAGAUCCUGGUAAUGCGAUGAAAGUAACCCGUGUUUAAAUCUCCCUCUCUAAGCCAGUUAAUGCGAGAUCGCUGUCGGAAAUACGCUUCUUCCACCCUUCUGAGGAAAUUCCAUUUGGUGUGGAGGUCUUUCUCUUCUUAUAACAGAGCUGGCGACGGAUUGGAUAUAGCUUGUACUUGCACAGUUUGUAGCACUAGAAUCUUAUUGGUUUCCAUCAUUUGGAGGAAAAGCGGGUGGGUGGAAAGGAAGUUGAAGAACUUGAAAGGUUUGGUACCAGAAGAAGGAAGGGUUGCAUCGAGGUUUAGAAGGCACGGUGUAUGGUCCGAGUAUUCAGGAGCAAGGAAAGAGGCGAUAGAGUACGGGUGAAAAGAGGACCUUGAUAGCGCACAUCAAACAAAUCAAGCUAUAAGAGACAAUCCCGCAACUCUGUCAUUCGCGAGGUUAAGUGGUUGACAUUUGCAUUGGAGUGUUCCCCAGGAUGGAUAAUUUGAUUGAAAUCUCCUCCUACCAUCCAGGGAAGAGAGUCCAACUGAAACCGCUGCUGGAGAUCAAUGAUUUCACACAAAAGGGGACCUCCAGAUGAGAACUAUCCUGCCAUCAUCAUCUGAUUUGUGAUUCGAUGUGAACUGCCAUCUAGGACAGGUAAGAUUCAUGACGUGGUUCAAGUUUGGUUCUUUUAUAUGGGUUUCUAGUAUGGCACCAAAAAGAGGCUGGUUAGUGUAUAACUAAUUAGCAAAAGGCCGAUGCUUAUCCGAGUCAUUUAGUCCUCGAACAUUCCAAAAAAAUGGUUGUAUAUACAUGGGAAUGUGAGGAGGUAAAAGACAAAUGGGAGACUCUCCCGAAGAUGGGGGAGGCUCCAAGUAUGAGGGAACUGCAGUUUCUAUUUCCAUAUCAGAUGGUUGCACAGAGGGAGGAGGGGUUAAGGAGGGUGUGUGAGAGGUUGAGACAGGAGAUGGUUGAGGGCGGAUUAACAGUAAGGAGGGGUCAGGGGGAGGUUGGGUAGCAUCUAAAACUUCAAAAGGGUUUGGAGUAGCAAGAGAGGAGAUCGGACAACAAUCCACUUGGCCAGGUAAGGAUGUUGGUUUGUUUGUUGUGUUUGCUGAGGAUUUGUGGGGGUUGAUUGGUGGUUUUUGUUGCAAAACAGGACACUCGGGGAUCAGAGAUGAGACAAUGGGACAGGAGGAAGAGGGAUCUCUCUCAGGUACUGAAGGGUUCUGUUCUUUUGCAGCAUCUAACUUAGAAGCAGGACUUUGUGGUAUUGGCUGCUUUGAGGGUGGUUUUGCAGGUUUGCUUCGAACUGGAACCCAAGGAGUAGUAACAGAAGGACAGUACUUGACGACAUGGCCAAUUUCGUUGCAGUUAGAACAAGUUAGUGGGAUCCAUGGGUACUCGACUGCUAUCGUGAUGACUACCCCAUUCUCACGAAGAACCUCCACACUUGAAGGUAGAGGCUCUGUCAGGUUUCGUUCUACUUUUACAUACGCUUCAGUUAAACUGACAAGAUUUCUAGUAAAAUCAUCCAUUUCCUUUGGCUCUCCGACCAGGCCCGCUACUAAACUGAUCCCUUUUCGGUGCAUCAGGUCAAAAGGCAUACCUUUGAGAUGAGCCCAGAUUGGAAUAGCAUUCAAGUCAGGCUUAUUUCCUCCAAACGAAUCCCACUGAGCCACCAAGAACAUACACUCACCAAUGUACCACAUUUUCUUCUCCAAUACCUUGGUUUGAAUGUACUCAUUUGGUAAGCGGACAAGCAUCGAGUUAUUUGAAUGAUUAAGCACUCUCGUGGAAGACCGAAUCAGGGAUGACUAUUCGAGGCUUUCCUUCUCGUGAGUAGUCUACUGGAGCAAGUCGAGAGAGGGAUUUGU
Molecule: non-coding RNA, 4759 nt
Organism: Camelina sativa (false flax)
Lineage: Eukaryota; Viridiplantae; Streptophyta; Magnoliopsida; Brassicales; Brassicaceae
Source: RefSeq, a predicted model, not a curated record